This 341-nucleotide unclassified non-coding RNA is filed under the name Acinetobacter kyonggiensis. Its description in RNAcentral is "Long range pseudoknot". The record is from RNAcentral. Lineage: Bacteria; Pseudomonadati; Pseudomonadota; Gammaproteobacteria; Moraxellales; Moraxellaceae.
ACUGAUGUUGGUGAUUACAACGUAAAAUUACGUGCAAUUAUCAAGUUCCUUGAAGAAGGCAACAAGGUAAAAAUCACCUUGCGCUUCCGUGGUCGUGAAAUGGCUCACCAACAAUUAGGUCUUGCUCAAUUACAAAAAGUUGAAGCAGAUGUAAUUGAAUACGGUACAGUCGAACAAGCACCAAAAAUGGAAGGUCGUCAAAUGGGUAUGCUACUUGGACCGAAACGUAAAAAGUAAGCACUCAUUGAUCAAAAAAGCACUGCAUAUGCAGUGCUUUUUUACGUUUGUGUUUUGAUAGGAUUGAUCUUACAAGUUAAAAAGACCAGUCAUCGACUGGUCUU